RNAcentral lists this ribosomal RNA (441 nucleotides) under uncultured bacterium. RNAcentral's name for it is "bacterial SSU rRNA". It matches the Rfam family "Bacterial small subunit ribosomal RNA", at positions 958 to 1397 of the family's 1533-position model. The record is from RNAcentral.
AACGCGAAGAACCUUACCAGCCCUUGACAUGGGGAGUUUGGAAACCGGAGACGGUUUCCUUCAGUUCGGCUGGCUCCCACACAGGUGCUGCAUGGCUGUCGUCAGCUCGUGUCGUGAGAUGUUGGGUUAAGUCCCGCAACGAGCGCAACCCUCAUUGUCAGUUGCCAUCAUUUAGUUGGGCACUCUGACGAAACUGCCGGUGACAAGCCGGAGGAAGGCGGGGAUGACGUCAAGUCCUCAUGGCCCUUAUGGGCUGGGCUACACACGUGCUACAAUGGCGGUGACAGUGGGGUGCAAGACCGCAAGGUGGAGCAAAUCCCAAAAAGCCGUCUCAGUUCAGAUUGCACUCUGCAACUCGAGUGCAUGAAGGUGGAAUCGCUAGUAAUCGUGGAUCAGCAUGCCACGGUGAAUACGUUCCCGGGCCUUGUACACACCGGCUAC